RNAcentral lists this ribosomal RNA (390 nucleotides) under uncultured bacterium. RNAcentral's name for it is "bacterial SSU rRNA". It matches the Rfam family "Bacterial small subunit ribosomal RNA", at positions 29 to 410 of the family's 1533-position model. The record is from RNAcentral.
AACGAACGCUGGCGGCGCGCCUAAUACAUGCAAGUCGAGCGAGAAGACGUAGCAAUACGUUUGUAAAGCGGCGAACGGGUGAGGAAUACAUGGGCAACCUACCCUCGAGUGGGGAAUAACUAGCCGAAAGGUUAGCUAAUACCGCGUACGCUCCUUGGACUUCGGUUCAGGGAGGAAAGCGAUACCGUGGGUAUCGCGCUCUUGGUUGGGCUCAUGUCCUAUCAGCUUGUUGGUGAGGAACGGCUCACCAAGGCUUCGACGGGUAGCUGGUCUGAGAGGACGAUCAGCCACACUGGCACUGCGACACGGGCCAGACUCCUACGGGAGGCAGCAGUAAGGAAUAUUGCGCAAUGGGCGAAAGCCUGACGCAGCGACGCCGCGUGGGGGAGU